This is an RNA transcript of Brassica rapa (field mustard), 2280 nucleotides long. RefSeq lists it as uncharacterized. Lineage: Eukaryota; Viridiplantae; Streptophyta; Magnoliopsida; Brassicales; Brassicaceae. The record is from RefSeq and is a predicted model, not a curated record.
UAAGAAGACCGGAGCUUCCAACAAGGUCAAAUAACGAAAUGCUUUAACUUUAACAUUUCUGUAUUUUCUAAGGCUUUGAGUUUAGUAGUUGGAAUAAUUUAGUUGAAGACUCUGCUAUAAUGUUUGAUUGCUUUGGAGAAGAUUAUGUAAAUGUUGUUUCUCUUUGUUUCUCCCAACGAAGAUGGCUAAAGGAAAGUCGCCUCGUAAAUCAACGCCUAAGAAAAAUGCAACUAAGAACGGGAUUGUAGCUACUGCUGAUGAUCACAUUAAUGUCUCACCUUCACUUCCCAAUUUGCGGCUGGAGGCAAAACUAAGAGCUGAGGAAGAUUCGCGGAUGUCUGCUGGGAAGCAACUACAUCCCUUUUUCUCGUCUUAGAAAGGAGGUAAGAAGAAUCAAGAAGCAAUUGUAGCGGAGAAUGGUGGUUGUCAGGAUCAAGGGAAAGAUAAAAUUGUCACCAUCGGUCCUAUCCAUGUAUUUGAAAGCCUUCCAUGAAUAUGCUUCAUACAUAGGGCAUAUUUCAAGAGCUAAUCCUUCUAAUUUAUCUGGAGCCAUGGAGAAUAGCAGACGUCGAAGGUCAAAAGAAUCUCGACAUUAUCUGUCAAUGGAUCUUUCCUCUGAAGAUAUUGCAUUCUUGGGUCAACAAAACACAUAUAGAAGAGAAGAGAUGAAUAACUAAACCAAUUUCAGUUGUAUAGAAGUUAGAAAAGCUCCACACUUCAAAGAGUUUUAAACGUGUUUGCUCACCAAUAAGUUAGCAGAGAUUAGAGCUUUAGGCAUGACCUUAUUGCAUAGUUUCUUCAUUUAUAACAUAUACACAUAUAAAAUUCAUAAAAAGAAAGAAAGAAACACCAAUUGUUGUAUUUGAUAAAUUAAAGAUUCUACAUAUCAUAUAAUAGAAUACUUCUAGAUUAAUGAUAUAUACACUUAAAAACGUUGUGACGUGCAAGUGAAUGGCAAUGUACUAAUUUUCAGUUUUCUACUCUUUUAGGUCCUAUAAGUGGUCAAUAACAUAAGAAGACUACAUCUAAAACUUAUCCUUAGAGCACCUCCAACCAUAAGAAACCAUAUAAGUUUCUAAAAUAUAUAUAUUAGUAUUAUAGUUAGUCAAUCAUACUUUUUUAAAAAUCAAUAAAAACACUAUUUUUUACAUGAUGACAUGUGUAUUUUUAAGUUACUAAUAGUUUCUAAAAACCUCUAAGUUUAGAACUUUUUGUGUUUUCUCUCCUAAUUUUAUUAUUCAUUCUUUUUUCUUAAAUAGUUAGAACCCUUCAUAAUACUCAUUGUUGGAGGUGCUCUUAGAUGUUUUGUCCAUGGCAUUUCCUAUAUUCCAAUUAUCACAAGUUCAGUAUUAUUGUUAUAAAAUUUUAAAAUAUUAAGAAACUUUAACCUCUUGUAAUUCACGCCUUCACGGUAGUGAAACAAAUUUUUGUUGCUCCUCGCAUUGCAAGAAAGUUAUCUGAUUGGUCAAGAUAAUAAGCCCAAUUGCUCAUUUAGUCACAUAUGGCAGGAAGAUGACGUUCAAAUUGGUUACACUAAUCAAUAAAAUUUUUUAAAAUGUUAAUACCAUUGGAGAUGUAAAAAACAAAUAAAAAGCAUAUUUACCCUCUCACAAGGAUCAAUGUGCAUGUAGAUAUCAUAAUACUCCUUCUGAUACUCUUUCAGAAGCCAAUAAACACCAAAAAGAUCCCUCAACUUUAUUGUAGCUCUUUCGAUUUCAUAGGACUUUCUAGAUCCAUUACCGUAAAUCUUUUGAUCUGUCUUAUCAAUUGAAUAGAGUUGCCAUCCGUAAGUAGUUCUACGACUGAAACAAAACAUAAUUCAAUUAGUCAACUUAACAAGCAAGUUAUGACAAAGUUCCAAAUACAUUUAUUAUCAGUACUCACUUAGAUCUAGUACCCGGAGUAACAAGUAUUCUAUUGAACACUACUUUGGUCACGGUAGUUAUGGUUUGUCAUGGAUUGAAAAGCGUCAGUGUAGAAUUUGACACCAAGAAGUACAUAUGAAGGUUCUAGAGGAAUAUAGUGCAUUGUCUUCUAAGUGUCCUGACAUGUUUAACAAGAAAGACAAAGGUUUUUCUAUGGAUCAUUUAACAGAUUUGAAUGCAAAUCAAGAGAUCGAGAAAUGAAUAACAUCGUUAUGAAGGAUAAUGACGUAGAUAAUAUGUGAUUCAAGAGAAAAAUCAUGAAAUAAAAGCAAAACCUAACAUGAUUGCUUGUGGAGUAUACUCAUGAUCAUAAAGGAUAUCACCCAAUUUGAGAGUUGCCAUUGAAAAUAAAAAA